UCCUCCGCUCCUGUGCCUUCCAGGGGAGCUCGUUUCCAAGGGCCCCCACCCAAUUCGGGAGGCCUUUCUGGGCUUGGCUUCCUGGCAGGGAAUGCUCAGACGCACUGGUGGUGCAGAGGUUGGUGAAGUACCUUGGCUCAUAAAUUUUCAUCUUGGGGAUACAUUAGGGAUUUUCCCCCCCAAGGAAUCCUCCAAGGAGAAGGUGGGUGUCUUCUAGUGACUUCCCACCAGACCCAUGAUAAGAUCCAAACUUCUUAGUGUGGUAUCCAGGACUCUGCAGAAUCUUGCCUCAGCCUCACUUGCCAAUCCCCUCUUCUGCUAUCUCUCCCUAGACCCGCUGGGCUCUAGCUAUACAGAACUACUGUUAUUCCCCUGAAGAUGUUAUGCAUUUCCAUGCCUCUGUGACCACUUUGUGUAUGCUAUUUCCUCUUCCUGGAGUGCCCCCCCUUCUCUUCUUAAAGAACUCCUAUUCAUCCUUCAAGACCCUAUUCAAAAGUCAGAUGCCUCGAAAUCUUGCUUGACUUCCCAGACAGGAUUGGAUGCCCUGUGCUCCAAGGCAUAGGGUUCCUUCCCUGGCUCAUCACCCAGUAAGUAAUUGUUAGGAUUUGCAUGUUUAUCUUCCUCUUAUUGCGCCUCUGGGGCAGGGACUGUCAUUCACCUUUGUAAAUCGGGGGUGGGGGGGCCUAAUAAUUCCUCCGGCAAUAUUUGUGCAAGAAUGAACACCAUUUCUGCCGGGUCUGUGGUAUUUUUGAGUGGCAUGAAGAGGACGACACUCUGUCACCAUGGGCCUCCCCUGGCCCACAGUGCCAUCUCUCCAGACGAGGGCCAUGUGGGUGAGUCUAUGUAUUCACACAGCAUCUGUACAGCAAUCCUCAGGUAGUUUUACAUCAGAUUUAUUUGAUACAGGAACUCUCCGGGUGGUUAUUAUAGUUACCAUCAAAACAUGAAGAGAUUGAGAUGCCAGGAGAUUGAGUAAUAUUGUGUUCAAGGUUUCAGUCCAUACAGAGUAAAGCUGGGACUUGAACCCAGGUCUUUUGGCUGCAAGAGCCACAAGAUCUCUGCCUACACCAGAGAUUCUCAAUAAGUGGUCUUUGAAUUAGCAGAUUAGCAUCACCUUGGAUCUUGUUGGAAAUGCAGAUUAUUGGUCCCUGCCCCAGACUACUGAAUCAGAAACUCCUAGGACAGACCUGCAGUCUGUUUCAAGAGCCCUGCCCUUGAUUCUGUUGCAUGGUUCAUUCCAAGUUCAAGAACCCGGGGUCUACAUCUUGAUUGUACCCGCGGCCCAGAGCCAGAGCCAGAGCCAGAGCCAGAGCCAGAGCCAGAGCCAGAGGAGGGCGCUCCAAGGCAAACUUUCACCCCUAAGCAGUCAUGGCAGCUGGGAUGGGACAGGUAGAAGGGAAGAAAAGGAACAGAGUGAGUAAGGAGACAGAGUUCUAGUCCCACCAGUUCUACAGUCAUUGGCUGAAUGAUUCUGAGAACUUUUCUGGGUCUCAGUUUUCUCAUCUGUGAAAUGAAUUUCCCUUUAUGUUCUGUUAUUCAGCUCUCCUUCUUUGGAAUUCCAUGUUGUCUAUGCUAGGAAUGGAAUGAAGACAGAGUAUGAGGAAACGAAGACUGAGUGAAGUAACAUUCUCCCAACCUACGUAUAUAGCACAUGGAAUUUGGCCUUAACCCACAGAGCCACACUGGUUGCCUUUGACCCCGGCGUGCAUCUUAACAUCUGUUUCGAGCAGAGGAAAUAGGAGAGUAAUAGAAUUGACGCGGAGUGAACCAAUUCUACCCAUGACAGACAUGCUUCAGGGUCCGUGGUUACAAAUGGCAGAGUCUGGCCUCCAGCACAUGCGCAGUUCUUCUUCUGCUGCAACCCCACACCAGGGAAUGCCUCUCCUUGACGCUGACCCAAAUCUUCCCCUCUUUCAGUGGUGAGUUUCAGCCCAUUACCUCUAAACCUCCACACCCUCCCCACCCACAUUUCCCACCAACCAAACCACACAUUUAAUUGGUUGACUUCCCCAGAGACUGUUUCUGUCAGCCUUUUGAUAAUGUUUGUGGCUCAUCUUGGGGGCAGGUGAAGUAUGUGGGUGGCAAGGGUGUUGUUCCCUGGUUUUCCCUCUAUCUUUCAAGAAGGCAGUUGAACUUUCUACUCUUUGUUUUUCCUUUCAGCGUCUCUGGUAAGUGUCCUGCAGCCUUCUGGAAUGUAAGUGAGCACCUCCUCUCUUGGCUUAUAGCUUCAAGACUUCCUCAUUCUUCCAGAUUGGCCACUUUCUCCUCUCCCCACCCUACUCGGGGAGGUGCUGCUCACCAUGUGAAGUUGCGUGGACAUGCUUGGAGCUCAUGGUCUAAGAUAAGGGUCUUAGCUCAGCAUCCACAUACCCUAGCCCAGUCCUUUUCCAUCUUGAGUGUACAUUAGAAUCUCUUAAGGAGCUUAAGAAAACCCAAUGUCUGGACUGCAUGCAGACCGAUUAAAUUAAAAAUUCAUGGUGGGAGGUAGGCAUCGUAAUUUAUGAAGCCCCUCCAGGUGAUUCCCAUGUGCAGCCACGGUUGGGGCUUCCCAACCUAGACUGAAAGUCCAGGGAAAAUAGUUUCUGGGUAAGUAUAUUUCCUGGAAAAGCUAAGCGAUAGCUUUUAUCAGAUGCUCAAAGGUGUCUAUGGCACCUUUCGCCUCACACCCCCGCGCCCCCGAAAAAGCUCAGGGACUGGUCAAAGAUAAUAUAUAAACAGGAAGAGUUUACCAAUAAUUAAGGAAAUACCAAAUGCAUGUGUUAACUAAAUAAAUAGGCAUUAAUAUGCAGAGGAGAGAAAGUGCUGCUUUGCAAGUGAAGAGGACCUUGGGAGUGUUCUGGGUGGAGCGAUGAGAGAGUCCCCACCUCUCCCAGCUGCCGAGGAAAACCAUGUGAUUUCAGGUCCUGCCACUCUAGGGGUCUGAUCACAUCCCUUAACUCCCCACCCCCACACAGCAAAGUCCUGACUCCCAACCACAACAUCCUGGUUCCUUCGUGACCUAGCUCCAGCAUCCUUUCUGGCUCCUCUCCAUCACUUAUCAUCAUCACUCAUCAUCCACACACUCAAGCCCCAGGAGGAUGCUUGCUGUCCAGUGUGUAGACACUGUGCCUUUGCUUCCAUUCUUUCCCAAGUUCCUCCCACUCUGCCUGUCUCGGGAUGGACCGUGGAGGGAAGAUUGAAGAAACAGGAUGGCUGGAGGCAUGUUCCCCGAGUGUGCUCAGGUCGUAUAUGGCAAAGCGAGUAGGGCAACCACCUGAGGAGCUCCUUAGAGGGAUGACAUGUGGAGAUUCAGAAGCUCUGGCCUUCAAGGGACUUACAUGCCAGUGCAGGGAAGCAGACCGGUAAGGAGCGCAGGGAAGCAUGAUAGGUGCUCGGAGAGGGAUAUGUGGAGGGACCUGUGGGGUGGGAGAGGGAGUGGACUUCAUCCAGAAAGGGACUAAUGACCCAGCAGGCCCCAGUGAAGAGAGAUGGGACUGAAUCAGGAGGCUGAAGCUAGAUUAUGGAGGCCAUUCAAUGCCAACCUGAGGACACCCACCACACAGAUUGAACCCAGCUGGUGCCCCCAGGUCUUGCUAGCUUUUAGUCUUGCUCCCUCAGGAAGUCUCUCGUGUAAUGCCAAGCUGUUGAGGCAAAGGAGCUAACUGUGGAGCCCUCUUAUCUGCCUGGGGGUGUCUGGCUUGGGAGGGUGCCGGCUUUUUGCAGGGAGCCCUGACCUUCUCCCGUAGAGCCUCCCUUCCCACCCAAACCAUGUUCCCAGGGCCCUGGAACAAGUGACUGAACCUGUAGAUAAGAAUAGUGACUGUAGGGCGCCUGGGUGGC
Long non-coding RNA from Neogale vison (American mink), 3819 nucleotides. RefSeq lists it as uncharacterized. Lineage: Eukaryota; Metazoa; Chordata; Mammalia; Carnivora; Mustelidae. The transcript is spliced from 3 exons. The record is from RefSeq and is a predicted model, not a curated record.